This 440-nucleotide ribosomal RNA is filed under the name uncultured bacterium. RNAcentral's name for it is "partial 16S ribosomal RNA". It matches the Rfam family "Bacterial small subunit ribosomal RNA", at positions 339 to 795 of the family's 1533-position model. The record is from RNAcentral.
CUACGGGCGGCUGCAGUGGGGAAUAUUGCACAAUGGGGGAAACCCUGAUGCAGCAACGCCGCGUGGAGGAUGACGCAUUUCGGUGUGUAAACUCCUUUUAUAUCCCAAGAUAAUGACGGUAGGAUAUGAAUAAGCACCGGCUAACUCGCGUGCCAGCAGCCGCGGUAAUACGGAGGGUGCAAGCGUUACCCGGAAUCACUGGGCGUAAAGGGCGCGUAGGCGGGUUGUCAAGUCUUGAGUGAAAUCCAACGGCUCAACCGUUGAACUGCUUGAGAAACUGGCAGCCUAGAGUAAGGGAGAGGUAGAUGGAAUUGGUGGUGUAGGGGUAAAAUCCGUAGAGAUCACCAGGAAUACCCAUUGCGAAGGCGAUCUGCUGGAACUUUACUGACGCUGAGGCGCGAAAGCGUGGGGAGCAAACAGGAUUAGAUACCCGGGUAGUC